GAAGCCAAUGCUAAGAAUUUUUACUAGUGGCAGCCCUAGUUCCAGCCCCAAUUUCCUAGAACUCCGCGAUCAAAAAUUUGACAUUCAAUUUUUUACUGCAGAAGUGACAAGUGAGUUUAAAAACCAGAUUACUUUUCAAACCAAAACAAGAUGUUCGUAGUACGUCGCAGCGCAGCGUGCAUUUAUCCCAAG
Molecule: long non-coding RNA, 192 nt
Organism: Rhagoletis zephyria (snowberry fruit fly)
Lineage: Eukaryota; Metazoa; Arthropoda; Insecta; Diptera; Tephritidae
Source: RefSeq, a predicted model, not a curated record